This is a long non-coding RNA of Oncorhynchus tshawytscha (Chinook salmon), 307 nucleotides long. The record is from Ensembl. Lineage: Eukaryota; Metazoa; Chordata; Actinopteri; Salmoniformes; Salmonidae.
UUCACAGCCAGGUUCACCAUAUCCCAACUCCCCCUGAGACACCUGCAGGGAGUGGGUUCACAGCCAGGGUCACCAUAUCCCAACUCCCCCUGAGACACCCGCAGGGAGUGGGUUCACAGCCAGGUUCAACAUAUCCCAACUCCCCCUGAGACACCCGCAGGAAGUGGGUUCACAGCCAGGUUCACCAUGUCCCAACUCCACCUGAGACACCCGCAGGGAGUGGGUUCACAGCCAGGGUCACCAUAUCCCAACUCCCCCUGAUACACCCGCAGGGAGUGGGUUCACAGCCAGGGUCACCAUAUCCCAA